AGAGUUUGAUCAUGGCUCAGGAUGAACGCUGGCGGCGUGCUUAAUACAUGCAAGUCGAACGGAGAUCAGCAAUGGUCUUAGUGGCGAACGGGUGAGUAACGCGUUGGUGACCUGCCCCGGAGAGAGGGAUAACAGGCCGAAAGGCUUGCUAAUACCACAUGCGCAGUUGAGGGAUUAGAAGCUUGACUGCAAAGCAGAAAUGCGCUCUGGGAGGGGCCUGCGACCCAUCAGCUAGUUGGUAAGGUAACGGCCUACCAAGGCGAUGACGGGUAGGGGACCUGAGAGGGUGGCCCCCCACAAUGGAACUGAAACACGGUCCAUACACCUACGGGUGGCAGCAGUAGGGAAUAUUGCUUAAUGGGCGAAAGCCUGAAGCAGCAACGCCGCGUGUGCGAUGAAGGCCUUCGGGUUGUAAAGCACUUUUGAACGGGAAGAGGAAGGACGGUACCGUUCGAAUAAGCCUCGGCUAACUACGUGCCAGCCGCCGCGGUAAUAC
Molecule: ribosomal RNA, 496 nt
Filed under: uncultured bacterium
Lineage: Bacteria
Description: bacterial SSU rRNA
Rfam family: Bacterial small subunit ribosomal RNA
Source: RNAcentral